Molecule: non-coding RNA, 73 nt
Filed under: Gorillibacterium timonense
Lineage: Bacteria; Bacillati; Bacillota; Bacilli; Caryophanales; Paenibacillaceae
Description: Cyclic di-GMP-I riboswitch
Rfam family: c-di-GMP-I riboswitch aptamer
About the family: GEMM was predicted in a large-scale screen for bacterial structured RNA regulatory elements. Genes associated with GEMM are involved in a diverse array of functions, including chemotaxis regulation, signal transduction, secretion and chitin.
Source: RNAcentral
CGGCAAAACUAUCGAAAGGUAGUGACGCAAAGCUAUAGGGACUACUUCCUUUAUGGAAAUGUCAGCCAGUUGC